Molecule: unclassified non-coding RNA, 240 nt
Filed under: soil metagenome
Description: partial contains 5.8S ribosomal RNA, internal transcribed spacer 2, and large subunit ribosomal RNA
Source: RNAcentral
AACAUCGCGCACCUGCGGGAACCUGCGGAAGGAUCAUUACAGAGUUGCAAAACUCCCUAAACCAUUGUGAACGUUACCUAAACCGUUGCUUCGGCGGGCGGCCCGGGUCCUUCCCGGCGCCCAUCGGCCCUCGCGGGCGCCCGCCGGAGGUAAACCAAACUAUUGCAUUGUAUGGCCUCUCUGAGUCUUCCGUACUGAAUAAGUCAAAACUUUUAACAAUGGAUCUCAGAUCGGAAGAGC